Molecule: unclassified non-coding RNA, 511 nt
Filed under: uncultured Entrophospora
Lineage: Eukaryota; Fungi; Glomeromycota; Glomeromycetes; Entrophosporales; Entrophosporaceae
Description: SSU rRNA
Rfam family: Eukaryotic small subunit ribosomal RNA
Source: RNAcentral
AGCAGCCGCGGUAAUUCCAGCUCCAAUAGCGUAUAUUAAAGUUGUUGCAGUUAAAAAGCUCGUAGUUGAAUUUCGGGAUCAGUACGCCGGUCGUGCCUUCGGUAUGCACUGGUGUCACUGGUUUCUCCCUUCUGAAGAACCAUCAUGCCAUUAAGUUGGUGUGGCGGGAAAUCAGGACUGUUACUUUGAAAAAUUAGAGUGUUUAAAGCAGGCUCGCGCUUGAAUACAUUAGCAUGGAAUAAUGAAAUAGGACGUUUGACCCUAUUUUGUUGGUUUCUAGGAUCGACGUAAUGAUUAAUAGGGAUAGUUGGGGGCAUUAGUAUUCAAUUGUCAGAGGUGAAAUUCUUGGAUUUAUUGAAGACUAACUACUGCGAAAGCAUUUGCCAAGGAUGUUUUCAUUAAUCAAGAACGAAAGUUAGGGGAUCGAAGACGAUCAGAUACCGUCGUAGUCUUAACCAUAAACUAUGCCGACUAGGGAUCGGAUGAUGUUAAUUUUUAAUGACUCAUUCGG